UAGGAUUAAGUAUGGAUUAUUUUAUUUUAGAUUUUAUUAUAAGUUUUUCUUUUUUAAUAUUCACUCUACUCUUUUUCUUUAUUAGUUUUUAUGUACUGGAUUUUUCUAAAGUAUUAUUUCCUUUUACAAUUCGUAGAAAUAUUUUAUUUUAUCUACAUGAUUUUUCUAAAGUAUUAGUAAGAAAUCUGAGCGUUCGCAC
This 199-nucleotide long non-coding RNA is filed under the name Lathyrus oleraceus (garden pea). RNAcentral's name for it is "Pisum sativum (pea) long non-coding RNA (PSAT_LNC032876)". Lineage: Eukaryota; Viridiplantae; Streptophyta; Magnoliopsida; Fabales; Fabaceae. The record is from RNAcentral.